This 119-nucleotide small RNA is filed under the name Polymorphum gilvum SL003B-26A1. RNAcentral's name for it is "Alphaproteobacterial sRNA ar45". It matches the Rfam family "Alphaproteobacterial sRNA ar45". The record is from Rfam by way of RNAcentral. Lineage: Bacteria; Pseudomonadati; Pseudomonadota; Alphaproteobacteria; Rhodobacterales; Paracoccaceae.
GCCCAAAUUCGCACGUGCCCGUGGUCGUCCACGAAUUCGAGUGGCAGCCGGUCGCAGGUCCCAGACGGGACGACCGGCAAAAACCGGACGGCUUAAAGCAACGACGUAAGAGGGCUUUU